AAUGGCUUCUGACACUUUAAUGCCAGCAUUUUAAAUGCACACAAAGUAAAGAGAGCAGAAACCCAAAGGGCAACGCUUCUCCUAUUUGCAUUGCAGACUCUCCAGAUGUGUUCUUUUGUGAAAUUCGGCACUGAGCUGAGCUUGUGGACAAGCAUGGUAACUCUAGAAACGAGUAUUACAGAUGGAAGAUGCCCACAUCCCUGGAUCACCCCUUGGAGGGGAGCCAUUCCACGAGGAAUACACGGAGGAGCUGGGCUUAUGAGAGAAAGCGUGCGACACCGUUGUGAUGCUCCAUAAAUUCUGCCGAUGGCAGGGAUGACAUUUCAGUGGUGAACGCUUGUCAAAGAAAUGCUAUGCAAGAGGGAUUUUUAUGGACAGCAGCACAGUAAUGGAAUACAGAUCUGCGAUGCAUCACCAAACAUUGACCUAAAACCUAGCAAGGCUGGGAGAUUAUUGACAAAGCGUGGGCUGCAAAACUUGGAAGAAGCAGGCUACUCUAAAAUGGACAGGUGUCAAGGCCACUCAACAUGUUGGCAUGGCUGAGAAGGUAUGCUACCCAUCCAUCAACCAGCCAAUCAAUAUGUAUUGAAUGCCAGCAAGGAAAAACAUGUAAUGCUAGAUCCUGAUACUACACAGGAAAUUGGUUAUAUCUGUUUUGCAUAUUAUUGAUGUUCACUAAAUGUGGAUUAUUUUCUACUUUUUUGCAAAUUAGGUUACCACUACUAAUAUAUUAUUGUCUUGCUUGGAAGUUUGUAUUUCUCUGAUUGCAAGCUAGGAGGAAAGUAUACUUCCUUUACAAAUUUCUCGACUGUGUUUCAAAUAUAUCCCUGGAGCUCAGAUAUUGCAUAUAAUUAUUAAAUGGUUCACAGUAGAAUAAACCCACUUGCUCUGCUUAAAAGGAAUAAUCCUAAAAAAAUCAAAUUAAGCACAAGGCAAGAAAUUCUAAUAUACAUAUCCCCUAAAAGCAGUUCUGCAUAUGCAUGAAGUUUGCUUUCAUAGACAGUCCUUGGCUGGGAGUUUUGCAUAUGUUCUUGAAAAAAAGUGCACUUGCAGGAAAACAAGUUAACAAAGAAGUACUGAGGGGAUGAUAGGCUCAUUUUUUAAGCAUGAAGAGAGCCCAGAAGAGACACUCGGCUAUUAAAGUUGGUUUCCCAACCAGGAGAACACUUUCCUUGCUUGCUGGAGAGUGCCCCUUGCAGGGCAUUUUAUUUUCUAUUUCCCAUAGCAAUGUGAAGCCCAUGAUGGAGAGCCACUGCAUUUUCCUGCCCAGUUCUAAGCUGCCUGUGAGGCCACCAGUGUGGUUAUUCCACCAACAGCAGCAAGCUCUUUGCUGGUCAACAUCCAUCAGCCCUUUACCGGAGUUUCAGAGUGUGCUGAAACUAGCAUUUCUCAAGAGUCUUCAGUCUGCUGGGCAGAGAUGAAUGUCGGAUUUGUUACCCAUGCCCAGAGGAGAACACCUGAAGAAACUGGCAUGCCUUGGAGGCAACACAGGUGGCCAGAGGCUCAUGCUGGAUUGGCAGUAAGCACAGCUCCUGCCAAAGGCAGGUGCUGGGCUCAAGACUCGCAGAGCCUCCGGGUAACAACGUUCCUUGGGUGCAAUGGGAGAAAAGUCCUCAUCUAUGCCUUGGGUCCAGUUUCUGACCCAAUCACAAAAAUCUCUCUUCCUUUCUCCUAGUGACCUGGAUAAACCUUUCAUGCACACCUCUUCCUUGAAGCCUUCUUAGAAUUC
Canis lupus familiaris (dog) is the source of this 1729-nucleotide long non-coding RNA. RefSeq lists it as uncharacterized. NCBI's taxonomy places the organism in Eukaryota, Metazoa, Chordata, Mammalia, Carnivora, Canidae. The record is from RefSeq and is a predicted model, not a curated record. The transcript has 3 exons.